Molecule: unclassified non-coding RNA, 219 nt
Filed under: soil metagenome
Description: partial internal transcribed spacer 1
Source: RNAcentral
CCGAAAUUAAAACUCACAACGCGAGUCUCGUGCGGAAGCAAAUAUGACUGCCGAGACUUUGUGACUCUUCAAGUCUUCCUUUGCUCAAGUCAAACCACACUCGUGAAGCACAUGUGACGAGUCUGUGGUGAGCAUCGGGAGCACUGCGUUUCCUUCGGGAUUCACAGUCUAAAAAACGAAUUGUAAAAGUAUAUAUAUAACAAAAAAAGACGAAAAAAU